GUUGCUUCUCCGCCGGUCGAGGACAAACCGACCCCUCGCGUCCGAGGUUAAACGACGUCCCAAGUGUUACCUCCUCGGAGGCACACGUUAAAGAUCGUUCCGGGUUGCGAGUCUUGACACCAACUGUAUGAUGUUUACAACCGGCGGCGUUGGAUCCCUUGGCACGUCAUUCGAUGAAGACCGUUGCAAAUUGCGAUAAAGUGAUGUGAUGCGCAAGUCCACCACUUAUACGUGAAUCAUCGAGUUGUUGAACGCACUGCACCGCGCCCUAAUCCGGCUGCGGUAUGCCCCUUUGAGCGUCAUUGUUACCCUUCGGGAGCCUUUCCUUGGGAAGGCCCGAGUUCGGAGUCCUCGGUCCUCGGAUCGUGUUCUCUCAGAUCCAUCAUGCCACCCGUCCAGUGGGUCCUCUAAUGCCUGAGCGUGGAGGGCUUCUGGGGUUUCGAGCGGCGUUCGACCGCGUGGAGAGCGCUGGUCGCCAAGUCCGUGCGGCCCAGCCGUCGGUGCUACAACUCAUGACCUCAUUGGGGUAGGACAACCCGCUAGACUUAAGCAUAUUAAUCAGCGGAGGAAAAGAAACUAACCAGGAUUCCCUCAGUAACUGCGAGUGAAGUGGGAUCAGCUCAAUGUGUGAAUCGGGCUUGGGGUACCUCCCGGAUCCGAGUUGUGCACUAUGGACGCUUUGUCUGCGUCUGUAACGGCGGUGGAAGUCCGGUGAAACACGGCACCUCAGAGGGUCACAGUCCUGUACCACCUGCCUGCACUCGCGCCAAUGACAAGCGCUCCUCGAGUCGCGUAGUUUUGUAAUGCUGCGCCAAGUGGGAGGUAGAGACCUUCUAAGGCUAAAUAUGAUGACGUGACCGAUAGCACACAAGUACCGCGAGGGAAAGGUGAAAAGCAACCAUGAAAAAUGGGUUGAAACAGCAGUGAAAGCGCCACCGGGAUAAGGGCUAUCGGGUGCUGGGGCUCGUUGGGUGUGCUUCAGUGCUACCCUUUGAGACGGCCCGCGCGGGUUGAUGUUGGGGCGAUAGAUGCGCCGCAGGAAUUCAGCUGUCUCCGGGCAGCGUUGUAGCCUACGGUUGCCGAUCCUCCUGCGACC
This 1096-nucleotide ribosomal RNA is filed under the name uncultured Tulasnellaceae. Its description in RNAcentral is "eukaryotic LSU rRNA". The stretch from base 514 to 1096 matches the Rfam family "Eukaryotic large subunit ribosomal RNA", at positions 1 to 494 of the family's 3401-position model. Lineage: Eukaryota; Fungi; Basidiomycota; Agaricomycetes; Cantharellales; Tulasnellaceae. The record is from RNAcentral.